CCACGGGUGGCUGCAGUGGGGAAUAUUGGACAAUGGGCGAAAGCCUGAUCCAGCCAUGCCGCGUGUGUGAAGAAGGCCUUCGGGUUGUAAAGCACUUUCAGUGGGGAAGAAAGCCUUGGGGCUAAUACCCUCGAGGAAGGACAUCACCCACAGAAGAAGCACCGGCUAACUCCGUGCCAGCAGCCGCGGUAAUACGGAGGGUGCGAGCGUUAAUCGGAAUUACUGGGCGUAAAGCGCGCGUAGGCGGUCUGAUAAGCCGGUUGUGAAAGCCCCGGGCUCAACCUGGGAACGGCAUCCGGAACUGUCAGGCUAGAGUGCAGGAGAGGAAGGUAGAAUUCCCGGUGUAGCGGUGAAAUGCGUAGAGAUCGGGAGGAAUACCAGUGGCGAAGGCGGCCUUCUGGACUGACACUGACGCUGAGGUGCGAAAGCGUGGGUAGCAAACAGGAUUAGAUACCCGAGUAGUC
Molecule: ribosomal RNA, 464 nt
Filed under: Vreelandella stevensii
Lineage: Bacteria; Pseudomonadati; Pseudomonadota; Gammaproteobacteria; Oceanospirillales; Halomonadaceae
Description: partial 16S ribosomal RNA
Rfam family: Bacterial small subunit ribosomal RNA
Source: RNAcentral